RNAcentral lists this long non-coding RNA (2239 nucleotides) under Varroa destructor (honeybee mite). RNAcentral's name for it is "uncharacterized LOC111250328, transcript variant X1". The record is from RNAcentral. Lineage: Eukaryota; Metazoa; Arthropoda; Arachnida; Mesostigmata; Varroidae.
GCUUUCAGGGGAUAGAACUAGAUAAACCUGAACGUGUAUCUUCGGAAUGAGAGGUAGAAGGUCUGGAUGGGGUCAACUUCGAAAGAGGCCAAUAAGAUGGAACGGGCUCGGCAGUCGUUUGCCAAGUAUGUUUAUACACAUCGCUAUCACUGGAUUUGCCGCAAAGGAUUUGCCGACCUUGAUAUGUGAUAACAAAGUAGAACGUGUCCUCAUGUGUUGUUUACGGUAUAUCAUGGCGCGGUGUCUAAAACGAAUGAAUCUAAUCGAGUCCUUGUUUUUCGUUGCAUGGAAAUUGCAAAGCUCACUAGCAUGCACGAAGACUAUCUGAAUGAGGUAAGAGGCAUGCGAUCAUGAAACGGCUAUUUCUCUGCUGUUUCUGUUAUUGAGGCCCAAUAGGCGCUGUCAACUGACAAACGGUCUCAAUGUCUCUAUAUUUCCAGAUGGACCUGACCUGUAGCGGAGAUCCGUAGACCACAUUCAAACAAGCAGUGCCAACGACUGCCUGCGCUACCCAGCUGACAAGGUUGCAUGACCGUUUCAUCCAGAUUAUGGCGUCACUAAUGGUCAGCGAAUCCAUGGGGAAAUCCAAACUUCUAUCAGUGCUUUUCAACAUGUUCAUUUCAUAACGCGAUCGGUAGCAUCGGUUAGGCAAUCGGGAUACUCAGAAUACAAAGCUCGUUCGAGCGGUCCUCAGAAAUGUUCAACGGGCGAUAUCGUAGGUACAGAUGGGUGGCAUGUAGGGCAAGUGAUCUGCCUAAUGCAUGGUGCGUAGCCGUCACCGUUGUUAUCGGUUCGUCCCCAGAGCCAGCUCACAGCUGCGGCAGUCGAAUCAGCCCCAGCCAUGAAGUACAACUUACUACAGCUAUGUGGGCUUCGGGCGAGUUCGGCUGCACCAAGGAAGUUCCUCACUCCUGUUAGUCGCCAUUUUGUUAAAGGCAAACCUGGACUUCUCUCGCAUUGUCAGAUGCACUCAAACGAGGUGCGCAGGGAUUAGCAGUUGAUUGUAGCGUAUAUUUGUGUACGGACUAGUCCAAGAAGAUAGAAGAUUCGAUUACCAUGAACCUAAUAUAUGUGGCCAUCGUUUGAUUCCAAAUGUUGGCAAUCGUGGCGAUUAUCAGAGACCACAAAUGAUACCUCAAUAAAUCGUUCCAAAGGAAUUCCCAAUUAGAUGAAACGUUAUACCGUCUUGGUUUUCAACGGAAUGCCUUCGUAUUUAUGUAUCAAUUUUUUAGAACUUCUCAAUUAACUACAAAUGGCUAACUACCAUUCUAUGAGGUUGAUUUUAGAAGUUGUGCGUGUCCCGAAACGCCGCAGAAAUCCAAGGCGAGCUGUCUCUUGUCAAGUUUCUUGCGCUUUAGUAGGAAUCACUUAGGGCGUUAAGACGCCGGUGGCGAACAGGAAAGGAACCAGAAAGCGAGAGGAAACAUUCCUAGAUACCAUAUCAUAUUAAUAUAUGGAAAAAAAAAGCAGUAUAUAUUGAAAAAUAUCAAUUAUUGUCAAUGCAUUAUGUGAAUAGAAAAUCGAAGGUUAUAUAUUUAACGUUCUUUUUUGCAGUACUCUGUUAAACGAGUUGUCCGUGUUAAAGUUCAGACCAGUUCCUUAGAACAGAUGCUUUCUAAAAUCCAUGAGAUCGUCCUUCGAAAGACAAAUAUAUCUUUUUACAUGGACAACUUCCAGUAAAUGUUUAGUAUUAUUGUUUCUUAUUGUGUUCUCUUUUACAUACACGUUUCGCCUAAAUCAGAAAUCAAACAUUUCACCUUUAACUCACGGUAUAUAACCAUAAUUUAAAUAUUGUUUAAAAAAAAAAGAAGUCGAUUCUAACAGAAUUGUCCGAUUUCAGUGAGACGGACUCCGCCCUAAUUCCUGAAUUCCAUACAGACGACCGCGUCUGACUAUGACCAGCUUUCUAGAGAUACGGUUACAGCGCGACGGCAAGCAUACAGACAGCAUAUUCCAUAGACCACGAUACGAUCAUAAUGGCGCACGUGUCAUCCACUUCAGAGGAAAUUAAUGGGAGUUCUGAGAACAGCUUCCACUACACUUCUGCGAGGACACCACCGGUCUGGCGGUUCUUUAAUCGGACUAAGAACGCGCAUCGUGUCGACGGUCCUAAUACGGAUCCUCUCCCAGGACACAACCGGUCUGAAGUUCCAUCGUAGAAAACACCUGAUGAGUGCAAGGGCCAAUAGAUCACGAGAAUCCUUCUUUUGCGCAGAGCUAUAUGCGACGCUAAAUCAGG